RNAcentral lists this ribosomal RNA (497 nucleotides) under uncultured bacterium. Its description in RNAcentral is "partial 16S ribosomal RNA". It matches the Rfam family "Bacterial small subunit ribosomal RNA", at positions 28 to 507 of the family's 1533-position model. The record is from RNAcentral.
GACGAACGCUGGCGGCGUGCCUAAUACAUGCAAGUUGAGCGCUGAAGGUUGGUACUUGUACCAACUGGAUGAGCAGCGAACGGGUGAGUAACGCGUGGGGAAUCUGCCUUUGAGCGGGGGACAACAUUUGGAAACGAAUGCUAAUACCGCAUAAAACCUUUAAACACAAGUUUUAAGUUUGGAAGAUGCAAUUGCAUCACUCAAAGAUGAUCCCGCGUUGUAUUAGCUAGUUGGUGAGGUAAAGGCUCACCAAGGCGAUGAUACAUAGCCGACCUGAGAGGGUGAUCGGCCACAUUGGGACUGAGACACGGCCCAAACUCCUACGGGAGGCAGCAGUAGGGAAUCUUCGGCAAUGGACGAAAGUCUGACCGAGCAACGCCGCGUGAGUGAAGAAGGUUUUCGGAUCGUAAAACUCUGUUGGUAGAGAAGAACGUUGGUGAGAGUGGAAAGCUCAUCAAGUGACGGUAACUACCCAGAAAGGGACGGCUAACUACGUG